This 456-nucleotide ribosomal RNA is filed under the name uncultured bacterium. Its description in RNAcentral is "bacterial SSU rRNA". It matches the Rfam family "Bacterial small subunit ribosomal RNA", at positions 339 to 786 of the family's 1533-position model. The record is from RNAcentral.
UAACGGGAGGCAGCAGUGGGGAAUAUUGCACAAUGGGCGAAAGCCUGAUGCAGCUAUGCCGCGUGUAUGAAGAAGGCCUUAGGGUUGUAAAGUACUUUCAUCGGGGAGGAAAAACAAAACUAAUAAUUUUAUUUCUUGACGUUACCCGAAAAAGAAGCACCGGCUAACUCCGUGCCAGCAGCCGCGGUAAUACGGAGGGUGCUAGCGUUAAUCAGAAUUACUGGGCGUAAAGAGCACGUAGGUGGUUUUUUUAAAGUCAGAUGUGAAUCCCUGGGCUUAACCUAGGAACUGCAUUUUGAAACUGAAAUACUAGAGUAUCGUAGAGGGAGGUAGAAUUCUAGGUGUAGCGGUGAAAUGCGUAGAUAUCUGGAGGAAUACCUGUGGCGAAAGCGGCCUCCUAAACGAAUACUGACACUGAGGUGCGAAAGCGUGGGGAGCAAACAGGGAUUAGAUACC